Molecule: long non-coding RNA, 253 nt
Filed under: Elaeis guineensis (African oil palm)
Lineage: Eukaryota; Viridiplantae; Streptophyta; Magnoliopsida; Arecales; Arecaceae
Description: long non-coding RNA (EGUI_LNC006186)
Source: RNAcentral
ACCGAAAUAGAAAUUCAUAAUUUGUCGAAACAUAAUCGAGUUCUGGCUCGAUACAAAUUCUUGCCUCCUAGCCAAAAUGGUCAUGACCCUUCCUCCAAAUGGUCACAUUGCCAUUUAUGAAGAAUUUCUGAGAUCUGAUCUUUAGUUUCCUCUCUAUCCUUUUAUUAUGAACAUAUUCGACGUGUACCAAAUAGUUCAGGUGCAAUUGGCACCGAAUUCUAUUCGUAUCCUUUGUUCUUUUGUUGUCUUCUGU